Molecule: ribosomal RNA, 896 nt
Filed under: uncultured Bacillota bacterium
Lineage: Bacteria; Bacillati; Bacillota
Description: bacterial SSU rRNA
Rfam family: Bacterial small subunit ribosomal RNA
Source: RNAcentral
CAAGUCGCACGAGAAAGGUUUCGCAAGAGACCGAGUAAAGUGGCGGACGGGUGAGUAAUGCAUAGACAACUUGCCCCUGAGAUGGGAAUAACGCCUUCGAAAGGAGUGCUAAUACCCAAUGCCGUCCCGGCACGAUGGUGCUGGGAUGAAAGGAGGCCUCUGACUCAAGCUUCCGCUCAGGGAGAGGUUUAUGUCCUAUUAGCUAGUUGGUGAGGUAAUGGCUCACCAAGGCUGCGAUGGGUAGCCGACCUGAGAGGGUGACCGGCCACACUGGGACUGAGACACUGCCCAGACUCCUACGGGAGGCUGCAGUCGAGGAUCUUCCGCAAUGCGCGCAAGCGUGACGGAGCGACGCCGCGUGGGUGAUGAAGGCCUUCGGGUCGUAAAACCCUGUUAGCUACAGUGAACCACGGGUGGUGAACAGCCAUCCCGUCUGACGUAAGUAGCAAAGAAAGCACCGGCUAACUACGUGCCAGCAGCCGCGGUAAUACGUAGGGUGCGAACGUUGUUCGGAAUCACUGGGCAUAAAGAGCGCGUAGGCGGUCUGAUAAGUCCUGUGUGAAAGACCCCGGCUUAACCGAGGAAUUGCACAGGAUACUGUUGGGCUAGAGUGCAGGAGGGGAGAGCGGAAUUCCUGGUGGAGCGGUGAAAUGCGUAGAUAUCAGGAGGAACGCCAGCGGCGAAAGCGGCUCUCUGGUCUGUUACUGACGCUGAGGCGCGAAAGCUAGGGGAGCAAACGGGAUUAGAUACCCCGGUAGUCCUAGCCCUAAACGAUGGGUACUAAGUAGAGGAAACUCCGAUGUUUUCUCUGCCGGAGCUAAUGUAUUAAGUACCCCGCCUGGGGAGUAUGGUCGCAAGGCUAAAACUCAAAGGAAUUGACGGGGGCUCACACAAGC